RNAcentral lists this ribosomal RNA (811 nucleotides) under uncultured beta proteobacterium. RNAcentral describes it as "bacterial SSU rRNA". It matches the Rfam family "Bacterial small subunit ribosomal RNA", at positions 249 to 1054 of the family's 1533-position model. The record is from RNAcentral. Lineage: Bacteria; Pseudomonadati; Pseudomonadota; Betaproteobacteria.
UUGGUGGGGUAAAGGCCCACCAAGGCGACGAUCCGUAGCGGGUCUGAGAGGAUGAUCCGCCACACUGGGACUGAGACACGGCCCAAACUCCUACGGGAGGCAGCAGUGGGGAAUUUUGGACAAUGGGGGCGACCCUGAUCCAGCCAUGCCGCGUGAGUGAAGAAGGCCUUCGGGUUGUAAAGCUCUUUCGGCCGGGAAGAAAUCGUGGUCUCUAACAUAGGCCAUGGAUGACGGUACCGGACUAAGAAGCACCGGCUAACUACGUGCCAGCAGCCGCGGUAAUACGUAGGGUGCGAGCGUUAAUCGGAAUUACUGGGCGUAAAGCGUGCGCAGGCGGUUUUGUAAGACAGAUGUGAAAUCCCCGGGCUCAACCUGGGAACUGCGUUUGUGACUGCAAGGCUAGAGUACGGCAGAGGGGGGUGGAAUUCCACGUGUAGCAGUGAAAUGCGUAGAGAUGUGGAGGAACACCGAUGGCGAAGGCAGCCCCCUGGGCCUGUACUGACGCUCAUGCACGAAAGCGUGGGGAGCAAACAGGAUUAGAUACCCUGGUAGUCCACGCCCUAAACGAUGUCGACUAGUCGUUCGGAGCAGCAAUGCACUGAGUGACGCAGCUAACGCGUGAAGUCGACCGCCUGGGGAGUACGGCCGCAAGGUUAAAACUCAAAGGAAUUGACGGGGACCCGCACAAGCGGUGGAUGAUGUGGAUUAAUUCGAUGCACGUGAAAACCUUACCUACCCUUGACAUGUCUGGAACCUUGCUGAGAGGCGAGGGUGCCUUCGGAGCCAGAACACAGGUGCUGCAUGGCUGUCG